GAUGAACGCUGGCGGCGUGCCUAAUACAUGCAAGUCGAGCGAACAGACGAGGAGCUUGCUCCUCUGACGUUAGCGGCGGACGGGUGAGUAACACGUGGAUAACCUACCUAUAAGACUGGGAUAACUUCGGGAAACCGGAGCUAAUACCGGAUAAUAUAUUGAACCGCAUGGUUCAAUAGUGAAAGACGGUUUUGCUGUCACUUAUAGAUGGAUCCGCGCCGCAUUAGCUAGUUGGUAAGGUAACGGCUUACCAAGGCGACGAUGCGUAGCCGACCUGAGAGGGUGAGCGGCCACUCUGGAACUGAGACACGGUCCAGACUCCUACGGGAGGCAGCAGUAGGGAAUCUUCCGCAAUGGGCGAAAGCCUGACGGAGCAACGCCGCGUGAGUGAUGAAGGUCUUCGGAUCGUAAAACUCUGUUAUUAGGGAAGAACAAAUGUGUAAGUAACUAUGCACGUCUUGACGGUACCUAAUCAGAAAGCCACGGCUAACUACGUG
This 497-nucleotide ribosomal RNA is filed under the name uncultured bacterium. Its description in RNAcentral is "partial 16S ribosomal RNA". It matches the Rfam family "Bacterial small subunit ribosomal RNA", at positions 28 to 507 of the family's 1533-position model. The record is from RNAcentral.